Molecule: transfer RNA, 73 nt
Filed under: Myotis brandtii (Brandt's bat)
Lineage: Eukaryota; Metazoa; Chordata; Mammalia; Chiroptera; Vespertilionidae
Rfam family: tRNA
About the family: Transfer RNA (tRNA) molecules are approximately 80 nucleotides in length. Their secondary structure includes four short double-helical elements and three loops (D, anti-codon, and T loops). Further hydrogen bonds mediate the characteristic L-shaped molecular structure. tRNAs have two regions of fundamental functional importance: the anti-codon, which is responsible for specific mRNA codon recognition, and the 3' end, to which the tRNAs corresponding amino acid is attached (by aminoacyl-tRNA synthetases). tRNAs cope with the degeneracy of the genetic code in two manners: having more than one tRNA (with a specific anti-codon) for a particular amino acid; and 'wobble' base-pairing, i.e. permitting non-standard base-pairing at the 3rd anti-codon position.
Source: Rfam by way of RNAcentral
GCCAGUGUGGCUCAGUGGGUAGAGCGUCGGCCUGUGGACUGAAGGGUCCCGGGUUCGAUUCCCGGUCAGGGCA